This 253-nucleotide ribosomal RNA is filed under the name uncultured bacterium. Its description in RNAcentral is "partial 16S ribosomal RNA". It matches the Rfam family "Bacterial small subunit ribosomal RNA", at positions 524 to 776 of the family's 1533-position model. The record is from RNAcentral.
UACGUAGGUGGCAAGCGUUGUCCGGAUUUACUGGGCGUAAAGAGCGCGCAGGCGGUCGUUCAAGUCGCGUGUGAAAGCCCCCGGCUCAACUGGGGAGGGUCACGCGAUACUGAUCGACUCGAAGGCAGGAGAGGGUAGUGGAAUUCCCGGUGUAGUGGUGAAAUGCGUAGAGAUCGGGAGGAACACCAGUGGCGAAGGCGGCACCCUGGACGAGGUCUGACGCUGAAGUGCGACAGCGUGGGGAGCGAACGGG